This 242-nucleotide long non-coding RNA is filed under the name Elaeis guineensis (African oil palm). Its description in RNAcentral is "long non-coding RNA (EGUI_LNC000250)". Lineage: Eukaryota; Viridiplantae; Streptophyta; Magnoliopsida; Arecales; Arecaceae. The record is from RNAcentral.
GGUCUUGCCGGAGCAACCCCACCUCCGAUUUAGACUUCCCUUGCAGAUCCCGGCGGCGACCGCGACUUCCCCGACUCCAGCUUCUCCGGCGCAAGCGGAUUUUUGCACCAACAGAUUUUAUAAAUUAAUUAUAAAUUAAUUAAUUAUAUAAAUAACUAACUAAUUUAUAAUUUAAUUUAAAUAGUUAAUUAAUAUUAUAUAAAUAGUUAAUUAAAAAUAAUAAAUAUAAAUAAAAAAAUAAA